CAGUUCGGAUUGUAGUCUGCAACCCGACUACAUGAAGCUGGAAUCGCUAGUAAUCGCGAAUCAGAAUGUCGCGGUGAAUACGUUCCCGGGUCUUGUACACACCGCCCGUCACACCAUGGGAGUUGGAAAUGCCCGAAGUCAGUGACCCAACCGCAAGGAGGGAGCUGCCGAAGGCAGGUCCGGUAACUGGGGUGAAGUCGUAACAAGGUAGC
Molecule: ribosomal RNA, 212 nt
Filed under: uncultured bacterium
Lineage: Bacteria
Description: partial 16S ribosomal RNA
Rfam family: Bacterial small subunit ribosomal RNA
Source: RNAcentral